Molecule: unclassified non-coding RNA, 507 nt
Filed under: Lecanicillium sp. EM-20-2
Lineage: Eukaryota; Fungi; Ascomycota; Sordariomycetes; Hypocreales; Cordycipitaceae
Also listed under: 1 other name
Description: partial contains ITS1, 5.8S rRNA and ITS2
Rfam family: 5.8S ribosomal RNA (bases 189-342)
Source: RNAcentral
CAGAGUUUACAACUCCCAAACCCAAAUGUGAACAUACCAAUCGUUGCUUCGGCGGACCCGCCCCGGCGUCCGGAUGGCCCCACAGGCCGUCCGCGGCCCGGACCCAGGCGGCCGCCGGAGACCAAACCAAAACUUUUUGUAUUCUCAGUUUCUUCUGAAUCCGCCGCAAGGCAAAACAAAUGAAUCAAAACUUUCAACAACGGAUCUCUUGGUUCUGGCAUCGAUGAAGAACGCAGCGAAAUGCGAUAAGUAAUGUGAAUUGCAGAAUUCAGUGAAUCAUCGAAUCUUUGAACGCACAUUGCGCCCGCCAGCAUUCUGGCGGGCAUGCCUGUUCGAGCGUCAUUUCAACCCUCGAGCUCCCUUUGGGGAGCCCGGCUGUUGGGGAUCGGCUGUACCGCCGGCCCCGAAAUGGAGUGGCGGCCCGUCCGCGGCGACCUCUGCGUAGUAGCAACACCUCGCACCGGAACCCCGACGUGGCCACGCCGUAAAACACCCCACUUUCUGAAC